GGACAAUAAAUCGUAGGACAUGUCAUCUUUUUCCUUUUUUUUUUACUCAACCCCUCAUCAUCCUACGGGUCUGCCGAUGCCGGAGGUCUCCCUCUGCUGGUGGGAAGCUGACCUGCUGUCAUGGAAAGAUGAGAUGAUCACUAUAAUCGCCUUGCCGGGAAAAGAUGCUGAAGUGAGGCCGGUGCCAGAAUACACAUGACCUGUACUUACCAUCAUGAAGAGCCCCUAACUG
Long non-coding RNA from Trematomus bernacchii (emerald rockcod), 232 nucleotides. RefSeq lists it as uncharacterized. NCBI's taxonomy places the organism in Eukaryota, Metazoa, Chordata, Actinopteri, Perciformes, Nototheniidae. The record is from RefSeq and is a predicted model, not a curated record. The transcript is spliced from 3 exons.